Molecule: long non-coding RNA, 584 nt
Organism: Astyanax mexicanus (Mexican tetra)
Lineage: Eukaryota; Metazoa; Chordata; Actinopteri; Characiformes; Acestrorhamphidae
Exons: 2
Source: RefSeq, a predicted model, not a curated record
GUGAGUUUCUCCGCUGGCUUGCGUUUUACCGGUAAUAAGCAAACACACACGGUAUGAUAACCGUGCAUUUUAAUACCACGGUAUACCGUGAAACCGGUUACCGCUGCAACCCUAGUAGCAUCACUAUCUAGUAGAAUUGCUCUGGUAAAAUUGAAAGCAGUUAAUUUUAUGUGAACCAUCACUGUGGCUAGCUGGUUACCCGAGCUCAUUAAAUUAUUCACCUAAACAGGACUAAAAGCUUGUUUAAUUCUUGAAAGGGUUGUAAAUGGGCUUAGUCACACAUCAUCUAUUUAGACACCAGAUAGAUAACAGUUUACAACACUAAAUCAAUGCAUCUUGUGACAACAUUUAAGACUAAUAUUAAAAUAAAGGGAAAAAAAUAUGCAAAAUAAUAGAUGAGCUGUGUAUGAUACCAAAGAUGUUAACUAUCAUUUUGUGUGUACAUAUAGAUGUAUAUGCUUAGGUCUACACUUGCCUUUCACUGAAAUGUAAAUGUAUUGCUUGGAAUGUUUACUGUAUGAUUAUUAUUGUGUGUUUAAAGGUUUCUCUGAGCGCUGAAUAAAACUUAUAGAUGUCAUACAUCA